RNAcentral lists this long non-coding RNA (887 nucleotides) under Phascolarctos cinereus (koala). RNAcentral describes it as "lncRNA (ENSPCIG00000028948.2)". Lineage: Eukaryota; Metazoa; Chordata; Mammalia; Diprotodontia; Phascolarctidae. The record is from RNAcentral.
UAAACACCCCAAGCUUGAGCAGUCUGUGGAGCAUUUUGUUUUUGCAUCUCAUUUCUGGUACUUAAUCAGACUUCUGCAGCUUGGAGAGGUCAUUGCUGAGAUGAGGCCUCAGAACUUCAAACAUCCCCUCUUGGUUGGACCAAGAAGGGUUAAAUGAGUCUGAUGAAUUGUGGAGGCUGCUGGUAUUGAGAAGUGUGAACUCCAGUCUGCAUGAGGCCAGCCAGGAAAUGCCAGAUUUACCAGCAUUCUUUGACAAGAACACCAGGAAUGAUAAGAGCUCACAGCAACCAGCCCUCUUUAAAGUGGGGACAGAAGAGUUUCAGUGGACACCUUUCCCCCCUGCCUUCACAUUUGUUGGUCAGUUCAAAAACCCAGACUCUUCUCAUUUCACAAAAGGGAAACCUGCUCUGAUCCUCCAUGAACAAGCGCAGGGAGUGGGCCAGAGCAGCGGGCCUUCCUCCUGGGGGCCCUCUGCUGGGGGCCGCGAGAACCUGGAGCCAAGGCGUGACCAUGGAACUGGGGUGAAAAGGCCUUUGGAACGAAGGGACAGUGGCAUCGAGGCUUCGAAGAGCAGACUUCCACAGCGCAGGAAGAAACAGAGACUUUGGGGGGAGGGCGACGCCUCCUCCCCAGCAUCUCCCCAGACCCUCACCUCAGGGGUGAGCCGUCCAGGGUACUCUUCCUCUGAAGAGCCCAGGCACAGCCUUUGCUCAGAGGGUGCCAGAGUGGAAAAAGAUGCCGCCUCUGCUGCCGUGAGCCAGGGAAUAGUGGCACUUGAUAGCUGUCCGAUGUGCCAGGUCCCAUUUACUGGAAAGUUCUCCCAGCUGGAUAUUGAUAGCCAUCUUGCUAAAUGCUUGUCAGAGAGUAUUGAAGAUGUGACGUGGUAA